This 257-nucleotide ribosomal RNA is filed under the name uncultured Shigella sp. RNAcentral describes it as "partial 16S ribosomal RNA". It matches the Rfam family "Bacterial small subunit ribosomal RNA", at positions 96 to 355 of the family's 1533-position model. Lineage: Bacteria; Pseudomonadati; Pseudomonadota; Gammaproteobacteria; Enterobacterales; Enterobacteriaceae. The record is from RNAcentral.
UGGCGGACGGGUGAGUAAUGUCUGGGAAACUGCCUGAUGGAGGGGGAUAACUACUGGAAGCGGUAGCUAAUACCGCAUAACGUCGCAAGACCAAAGAGGGGGACCUUCGGGCCUCUUGCCAUCGGAUGUGCCCAGAUGGGAUUAGCUAGUAGGUGGGGUAACGGCUCACCUAGGCGACGAUCCCUAGCUGGUCUGAGAGGAUGACCAGCCACACUGGAACUGAGACACGGUCCAGACUCCUACGGGAGGCAGCAGUA